CUUCGGUGGGGAUUAGUGGCGAACGGGUGAGUAACACGUGGGCAAUCUGCCCUUCACUCUGGGACAAGCCCUGGAAACGGGGUCUAAUACCGGAUAUCACUCCUGCAGGCAUCUGCAGGGGUCGAAAGCUCCGGCGGUGAAGGAUGAGCCCGCGGCCUAUCAGCUUGUUGGUGAGGUAAUGGCUCACCAAGGCGACGACGGGUAGCCGGCCUGAGAGGGCGACCGGCCACACUGGGACUGAGACACGGCCCAGACUCCUACGGGAGGCAGCAGUGGGGAAUAUUGCACAAUGGGCGAAAGCCUGAUGCAGCGACGCCGCGUGAGGGAUGACGGCCUUCGGGUUGUAAACCUCUUUCAGCAGGGAAGAAGCGAAAGUGACGGUACCUGCAGAAGAAGCGCCGGCUAACUACGUGCCAGCAGCCGCGGUAAUACGUAGGGCGCAAGCGUUGUCCGGAAUUAUUGGGCGUAAAGAGCUCGUAGGCGGCUUGUCACGUCGGGUGUGAAAGCCCGGGGCUUAACCCCGGGUCUGCAUUCGAUACGGGCUAGCUAGAGUGUGGUAGGGGAGAUCGGAAUUCCUGGUGUAGCGGUGAAAUGCGCAGAUAUCAGGAGGAACACCGGUGGCGAAGGCGGAUCUCUGGGCCAUUACUGACGCUGAGGAGCGAAAGCGUGGGGAGCGAACAGGAUUAGAUACCCUGGUAGUCCACGCCGUAAACGGUGGGAACUAGGUGUUGGCGACUUCCACCGUCGUCAGUGCCGCAGCUAACGCAUUAAGUUCCCCGCCUGGGGAGUACGGCCGCAAGGCUAAAACUCAAAGGAAUUGACGGGGGCCCGCACAAGCAGCGGAGCAUGUGGCUUAAUUCGACGCAACGCGAAGAACCUUACCAAGGCUUGACAUACACCGGAAACGUCUGGAGACAGGCGCCCCCUUGUGGUCGGUGUACAGGUGGUGCAUGGCUGUCGUGUCAGCUCGUGUCGUGAGAUGUUGGGUUAAGUCCCGCAACGAGCGCAACCCUUGUCCUGUGUUGCCAGCAUGCCCUUCGGGGUGAUGGGGACUCACAGGAGACCGCCGGGGUCAACUCGGAGGAAGGUGGGGACGACGUCAAGUCAUCAUGCCCCUUAUGUCUUGGGCUGCACACGUGCUACAAUGGCCGGUACAAUGAGCUGCGAAACCGUGAGGUGGAGCGAAUCUCAAAAAGCCGGUCUCAGUUCGGAUUGGGGUCUGCAACUCGACCCCAUGAAGUCGGAGUUGCUAGUAAUCGCAGAUCAGCAUUGCUGCGGUGAAUACGUUCCCGGGCCUUGUACACACCGCCCGUCACGUCACGAAAGUUGGUAACACCCGAAGCCGGUGGCCCAACCCCUUGUGGGAGGGAGCU
RNAcentral lists this ribosomal RNA (1373 nucleotides) under Streptomyces sp. TY35-8. RNAcentral describes it as "bacterial SSU rRNA". It matches the Rfam family "Bacterial small subunit ribosomal RNA", at positions 80 to 1454 of the family's 1533-position model. Lineage: Bacteria; Bacillati; Actinomycetota; Actinomycetes; Kitasatosporales; Streptomycetaceae. The record is from RNAcentral.